Molecule: ribosomal RNA, 117 nt
Filed under: Sinocyclocheilus anshuiensis
Lineage: Eukaryota; Metazoa; Chordata; Actinopteri; Cypriniformes; Cyprinidae
Source: RNAcentral
CGCCACAGCCAUUUCACCCUGCAGCCCAAGACUGGUUGCCCACUGAAGCUAAGCAGAGUUGAGCCUGGUCAGUACCUGGAUGGGAGACCUCCUGGGAAAACUAGGUUGCUGUUGGAA